GAGUUUGAUCAUGGCUCAGAUUGAACGCUGGCGGAAUGCUUUACACAUGCAAGUCGAGCGGCAGCGCGGGGCAACCUGGCGGCGAGCGGCGAACGGGUGAGUAAUGCAUCGGAACAUGUCCAUGUCGUGGGGGAUAGCCCGGCGAAAGCCGGAUUAAUACCGCAUAUGCCCGAGAGGGGAAAGUGGGGGACCGCAAGGCCUCACGCGAUUGGGUUGGCCGAUGUCCGAUUAGCUAGUUGGCGGGGUAAGAGCCCACCAAGGCGAUGAUCGGUAGCUGGUCUGAGAGGAUGAUCAGCACACUGGGACUGAGACACGGCCCAGACUCCUACGGGAGGCAGCAGUGGGGAAUUUUGGACAAUGGGGGAAACCCUGAUCCAGCCAUUCCGCGUGAGUGAAGAAAGGCCU
This 405-nucleotide ribosomal RNA is filed under the name uncultured beta proteobacterium. Its description in RNAcentral is "bacterial SSU rRNA". It matches the Rfam family "Bacterial small subunit ribosomal RNA", at positions 9 to 418 of the family's 1533-position model. The record is from RNAcentral. Lineage: Bacteria; Pseudomonadati; Pseudomonadota; Betaproteobacteria.